CUUCUAGUUCUCAUUUGAUCCCUGAAGUUAAGCAAUGUCAAGCUUGGGCAGUACUUAGAUGGUGGACCACUUGGGAAUACCAAGUACUGU
This is a non-coding RNA of Acanthosepion pharaonis, 90 nucleotides long. The record is from the annotation of a GenBank genome assembly. NCBI's taxonomy places the organism in Eukaryota, Metazoa, Mollusca, Cephalopoda, Sepiida, Sepiidae.